RNAcentral lists this long non-coding RNA (630 nucleotides) under Mytilus galloprovincialis (Mediterranean mussel). The record is from RNAcentral. Lineage: Eukaryota; Metazoa; Mollusca; Bivalvia; Mytilida; Mytilidae.
UGCUGCUAUAAAAAUUUAGAAUUAGAGUUUUUAUUUUUGCUUUACGUAUUUCUUCUCAAUUUUCGCAAAACUUGCAAAAAUUCUAAAGUACGAACAGGAAUAUUGUUGGCAUAAAUUACGAGGUCCAUAAUGCUGUUGGCGAUUUCCAAUCUCUGCAACAUCUAAUACAUACGUUAAAAUCCCUCGAAGACGGUUCUUCAAAAUCACACGCAGCUUUUCUAUUCAGUAUAUUGUUAGCUUGAUCAUUACAGCUCACAAAAUCUAGACUGGAUACAUUUAUCUGAACGUCAUAUAAAGUGUGUUCAAAGUCUAUGUUGAACAAUUUAUAACAACACAUAGCUGAGUGGGGGAUAGAGCAGAUUGGUAUCCCGAGAAAACAUUGUCAACCGCGGCGAAGCCGAAUAACAAAAAAAAAAAAAAAAGAUAAAUAAGUUGGAAUUUAUAUACAUUUGUUUUUAGAUAUUCACAUCUAUGCACUGUCCGCACUAUAAUAACGGAACAAAACCAACGAUGGAGAAAAAAGUAGGGAUAAUAUGCAACAAACUUUGAAAUAUUCUUUUUGUUGGUCUUUUGCCUAUAAUCUACAUUUAUCCCACAUCUCCUUUCGUGUCAUAUUAAACACACUACUUA